UGGGGAAUAUUGCACAAUGGGCGAAAGCCUGAUGCAGCAACGCCGCGUGAGUGAUGAAGGCCUUCGGGUUGUAAAGCUCUAUCUUCUGGGACGAUAAUGACGGUACCAGAGGAGGAAGCCACGGCUAACUACGUGCCAGCAGCCGCGGUAAUACGUAGGUGGCAAGCGUUGUCCGGAUUUACUGGGCGUAAAGGAUGCGUAGGCGGAUACUUAAGUCAGAUGUGAAAAUCCCGGGCUUAACUUGGGAACUGCAUUUGAAACUGGGUAUCUAGAGUGCGGGAGAGGAAAGUGGAAUUCCUAGUGUAGCGGUGAAAUGCGUAGAGAUUAGGAAGAACACCAGUGGCGAAGGCGACUUUCUGGACCGUAACUGACGCUGAGGCAUGAAAGCGUGGGGAGCAAACA
RNAcentral lists this ribosomal RNA (402 nucleotides) under uncultured bacterium. Its description in RNAcentral is "bacterial SSU rRNA". It matches the Rfam family "Bacterial small subunit ribosomal RNA", at positions 355 to 774 of the family's 1533-position model. The record is from RNAcentral.